GCCUGCAGGUGGGGAGGAUGAAUGGACAGUGGUGGUGCAGUCCUCCAGAGCCUCUCUUCCGCCCUGGGCGACCUCUGCCUCAGGCUCCACGUUGUUACUUCUGUCACUCUGAACCCUCCUCAGGGUGCCAUUUGUACAUAAACGUGGCCGCUUUGCAGGUGGGGGCAGCCCAUCCUGAUGCCAGGAAAUCAGUGAUGGCAGGGCCACUGGCAUGAGCUGUUUCCUUUUAUGCGGCCUCUUGGAAGCAGCAGUUAGUGAGGGCCAACUCUGGGCUAGAACACAGGUCGGCUUUAGGCCCUGCUCUCCCUGGAUGGCAUCUUGGGAGGCUGGAGAGACAGGCAGAUCUACAGGCUCCUGGGUCCACUUGUGGAGCAUUGAGGGGCCCUCAGCUUUAAGGAGGGCGAGCACUCCUUGAGCAGGGCAGUGGGAGCUGCAGGUUGUGGGGCUCCCAGAUGAUAAGUUCUUGGGAGACACCUGGGCCCUCUCUGGAAGGAUGUUUCCCUCUGGGGGCCAAGAACUGGGCUCCAGGGCACUGAGGUCUCCCCGAGUGUCCUCCUCCUCCUCCUUCUCCACCUUCUCCUCCUCCUCCUCCUCCAGCUCCUCCUCCUCCUCGUCCUUCUUCUCCUCUUCCUCCUCGUCCUUCUCCUCCUCCAGCUUCUCUUCUUUCUUCUCCUUCAGCUUCUCCUCCUCCUCCUUCUCCUCCUCCUCCUCCUCCUCCAGCUCCUCCUCCUCCUCGUCCUUCUUCUCCUCUUCCUCCUCGUCCUUCUCCUCCUCCAGCUUCUCUUCUUUCUUCUCCUUCAGCUUCUCCUCCUCCCCCUCCUCCUCCUUCUCCUCCUCCUCCUCGUCCUGAUGGAUCUUGCCUUCGUCUUGCUGUUCCUGGGCCCUGAGCUCAGCUUCCUUAGAGGCACCAAUAGGGCAGCAAGAAGGUGUCAUGGGCCCCUCAGCGUGGUGGAUGAGCUGAGGAACUGAAGGCAGGAGGAGAGGCCUGCGCGCAGGAGGGGGGAUCCUUACUGCUCUCGAGGGUCCGAACAUCUGAGAGUUCUUCCGGGAUAGCACUGGCUUUUUGGGGAGCGGCCCCCAGGACACGGGCAGCAGGGUCCCCCGAGAGAGGAGCGGGCCUCUGUCCCUGCCAGCAGCAGGAGGCCCCCGAGGUCUGUGAUCCUGGGGGAAACGCCUGCUGGCAGGGCUGAGGGGAGAGGCAGGUGCAGCGGGGUGGUCCCUGUGAGGAGAGGGAGCCUCCCGGGUGAGGCGGAGGGGAGUGCGAUGGCCCAAGAGGGCCCUGCGGCGCAGCCUGCGAACGCACUUGGUCAAAAGACUGCCCAUGGAGGGCACCUGGGGCUCGUCACUAGGCAGAAGUCCACACUAGUCCAACGCUAGUCAGCACAGAGCAGCUUGGCUGAGAAGCCAGCUCCUCCUUCAACCACAGGCUGAACUCCAGUUUAGCCUUUGUGACAUGUGGCUGGAGCCUGUGACAGAGAAAGGACUUGGGCCAAGAUGAUUGGUCAAAGGAAGGUUCCAGGGUGAAGAGACCCCUCCCCCCACUUGGUCUGAGCUUAGGUGCCUCCUGACUCUCCCCUGCUUCUUCUCCCACACCCACCGCACAGUUAUUCUCACCCUCCAGAGGGUCAUUCUGAGGCUGCUUUCCUUUGGGUUACUUAGGCAGUCAUUCUACUUGGCUCCGAAAAUAAAUAUCUCCACGAUUCUACUGGACGUGACUGUAGCCAUCCAGAGUCAAACCACCAUCCGUUGCCCUCAGAUAACUACAGCUAUAGUUCCCACCAUACUAUCAAUUUAGAAAACCAUUACAGUUGUCCCUGGAACUGUCCCACAGGAUCCUUGAUCCAGUAAUGGUGCCUGACUGUGAUGUUACUUCAGGUAAAAUAUGUAGUUUGUUUGGGAAGAGUUCCCUCUCAUCCUGACCAAAGCACAUACACAUCCUUCUCUCUACACCAUAUUGAAGGUGUGCAGUGUUCUUCCUGUGGCCUAGCGUUGCAUUUUCCAGAGAGCUCAGUCCAUGUUUGGCUGACUACAUUGCUCUGGGGCUAAGAUGAUGCAGAACAUUUCAUGUCUCAGAGGUGUCAGUCCAUGGACAGCCAGCUCCAUUGCCCUGGGCCAGAGGUGGAGCAGAACAUUAGGGCACAAGGACAUUUUGAAGGGCAGCUGCUCACCUCAUGGCAGCCACAACGUAGAUAGUAAGAAGGAGCAAAUGGCAAGAUUCAUCUCCAAGGGUUUGCUACUAGUGACCUAGUUCGCUACCAGUGGAGCCAGCUUUACUGCAACUUCUCUGGCCAAACUCUGCUACCUGCUGCUCAUUUUCACAGUCAUCUGGAUAAAUGCUGCUAGCAAUAUCCAUACCACUGGAUGAAAUUGAAAUUUUUGUGCUGCAUUGAAAUUUUUCCACUAGAAUAAUUAAGACAUCAUCUCUAACUAAAUUUAGCCACAUAGAUAGUGUCAAGACAUGUGUAAAAUGUUAAAUGGAAAAUGACAAUGAAUUUGCUAGAAAGUAACAUGAAUGCCCUCCAGUCCCUCUUCCAAUAGAAUAAGCUUUCUCCUCAGCAAAGUCAUGAGCACCGUCUUUAAUACUGACAGUCCUUUAGCCUCCUGGCCUUCUGAGCUUCCACCAAAAUCACUCCCAAAGCUCUGCUUACCAUAGUGAAAGCUUUUCCAGAUGGCAUCUCUAAAGUUUUGAAAAUUCCACCCCAAAUUCCGAAAGGAUCUAGACAGUACUGAACCAGAUGGUUAGAUUAGUCACAGUGAAGAACUCAUCUCUUGGUAACCACUUCUAUUCUAGUCAGCUUUUUUUUGCCACUAUGAUCAAAAGACCUGACAAGAAGAACUAGAGGAGGCAAUGUUUAAUUGGCUCACGGUUUCACAAGCAGUCCAGAGUCAGCUGCCUCCAGAACUCUGGACAUCAGGAAGCAAAUAAUCAUGGCAAAAGAGUGUGGUGGAAGUAAGAAGCUCAGGAUAUUGCCACAAGGUGGAGAAGUGCUAGUGGGCUCCCUGGGCACAAUAUAUACAUCCCACAUACAAGCGCUCAUUGACCUACUUCUUUUUGCCAACCCCUACCUGCGGACAAUCAUUGUCCAGUUAACCUGUAUCAGUGGAUUAAGGGAAUGAUUGGCUAAGGUUCUCAUAGCCUAAUCAUUUCACCUCUAAUAUUUCUUGAAUUGUCUCACCCAUGAGCUUCUGGGGAUACCUCAUAUCUAAAUUGUAACACAUGCUGUUGUUCUGGUUCAAGCAGGAAUAUGUCCUGGGAUGAGAAGACUCCAUUAAACCCGGGUUGACCACAAUGAGAAUGGAUCUGUAGGAGUCCUGGUGAAUGGAAAGCGAUUAGGCUCUUCACUGCCACAGAUGCAGGGUCCCUGUGUGUAGCAGCUCAGCUAGACGGACUCUCAGCUCCUUCUUCCACUACACCUGAAGACUUGGAGGGAGAAGGAGCAGUGCAGAGCCCUUCCAGCCAGCAGCUGCAGGAUGCCUGGGUCGGCCCUGGGACUUGAUCUCGUAGUGUAGAAAGGGAAGGAAAGGGCUGAUGAUGGGGAGAGUCUUGGGCCACGGAGAGCCAGCUUUGUUUUCUUGUUGGCCAAGUUCUAAGGCCAGGGGUGGAAGUGUCCGCUCUUGCUGGAUGCCCAGCCCCUCUGUGACUCGCCAGUGUUUCUCACUUGAUGGCUUUGCAGAAGCAGUCAGUUGUCCACUGCCCAGGACUUACGAUCUCCCCACCCUCAGCCUUUGUUAGGGAGUGGCGGCACCUAGGGAGCUGUGGACCGCAGAGCUGUGUCCAGGAUUAAACACAGACCAAAAGAAGAAGGGAGGGUCCCACCGGGAGGGUCCCACCCAGGAUUCACACUGUCUGUGGACGUAUCUACGGCUGCUGAAACCGUGGGUAACUACAUCUCAGUAUUACUCACAGAAGGCUUUUCCCUUUCACCUGUAGCCCUUAACAAUUUCCGCAUGCUGUCCACAGACCAACUGAAUACAUUUCAAUAAAGACUUACUGAUUUUAUUUGAUGAAUAUUGAUUGAGUGCUUGCUACAUAUUAAACAUAGGUCAGGAACCUCCUUCAGGGAAAAAGGCAGAUGAGGCCCCUGGCCACUGUGCACCUGGACUUUACAUUCUUGAGACUGGUGGUGGGAGUGACAAACAAACAAAAAUAAACUGGAAAUACUUAGAUAGUGAUAAGUGCCAUAGAAAAUAAAAAGGAGCAAUGUUAGAGUCUGUAAACAAGUCAAAAUAACACCUGGCAUUUUGCCAGGGGAAUGCUAGAGUUCGUAAACAAGUCUGGAUGGUGCCUGGCAAAAUGCCAGAGGGAGUGAUUUGAGAAGUAACAAAAGAGAGCCAUUAAGUGUAGAGAUUCCUGAUUGGUUGACUGAUGUAUCUAGUUUAUGCUAAUUAGAUAAGCUGUGUGGAAUGUAUAAAUACUGCUCCUGUCCUGCAAUAAACGGUUCCUACUCCUGCUGUAUCAAUCUACACAAGUUGUUCGUCACCCCCCUGAUUAUUCUGCUGCAGCCGGACUACGGCAGAGCAAGAUGGAGAGUGGCUGAGUGUUGAGAUGGUCAAGAAAAUCCUUUCUGAGGACAUGACAUUUGAGCUCAGAUCUAAAUUAUGAGAAUAGUGCAGAUGAGUUUGUACUGAGGGAGUGGCAUGGGCAAAGGCCCUGAGGCAGGAGUCAGUAUGGCUGGCGUCACUGAGUCCUUGAAAGGUUAGUGUGCUUAGAAUAUAUAGAGGCAGUGGGAAGAAGCAGGAAUGAGGUCAAAGGUCAGCCAACUUAUCAGGACCUUGUCAGACACGGUAAGAAGUGUCAAGACAUGGAGACAACAUCAAGAUCAGGGCAAUGACAUGAUGUUACUACUCUCUUGGACAUCUGAUAUCACAAUGGGAUUGGAAGAAAAAUGGGCAUCUUUCACAUGCAUGAGCUACAUCACAGUGGAAAGGACACUGGCCUCUACCUGGAGUGAGAAGCAGCAGCUACACAGCUUCCUGCUUGCAUUGCAUUGGGUGUUCUCACUGCUCAGUUUUGAAGCCUGAUUUCCUUAUCCAUAGAAUGGGAUAACUGCACCCUGAACCACCUCCUGAAGGUGUGGUACGGGUCAAAUGAGACAUUGUGAAAGGUGUGCAUGUGCAGAGGGGUGGAAGGGAUGACGGUCUGUUGUGUUCAGAGGCAGUGGCCUUGAUCGGAACCUCAAAACACUGGACAUUUGUGAUCAUUCCUUUGGAACCUUGGAACCUGCGGUGCUUUUCAGACUGCGCUCCUCUUACUUGGGUGGUUUUUCCCCCUGAAUGAAAGUCAAUGCUGCCUCCAUUUACUCCCAAGGCCUCAGAAGAGAGCCCCCAGCUGCUGCUCACAAUGGGAACCCUGAUCCUUGCGCUGGCACCACAGGGCUGACCAGCUCUCCAAGACGUUAUCUUCUUUGAUCCUGGCAACUCCACCAAGGGGCAGGUAGUUUGAUUUCCCGGGUAGAACGCCCCCCCUUCCCUGCCUCAUGUCAUCAGGCACUUAUCCACAAUGUUUCCAGACUAAAAGGUUUGCAUUUGUCCUCGAACAGAGGCUCUUCCUAAGUCAGGUGAGGCGUGUCGAUUUCCCAGAUUUUCUGAGAACUCUCCCUAAUGGCUGCCAAGUUGAGUUCCUCCACAGGAAGCCUUUCUUGCUCUCUGACAGAAAUCCUGAUGGUAUCUGAGCACCUGACCUCUGGUUCUGCCUUCACAUGUACCCUCUCUGGCAUCCAGAUAUCUGUGAGACUCACCCUUGCAGCUUGUCGAAGUGAGAAGGAAUCUCAGAGACCAGGGAACCUGAGGUCUGGCAGGACAUGGCCCCAGAGUGACAGACUCCGAGGCUCUGUCAAACUCCAGGCAGUAUGGCACCACUUAUUCCCCAAACACCAGGAUCUGUGGUUCAGGAGAUGGCAAAUUCUCAAUGCUCAUAGUAUAGUAUCCUAGACCCAGAGCUGAUUUGCUGGGUCACUGAGAGAGGAGCCUUCUAGUUUCCUGCUAACAUAGACCUUCUGGGUGAGGAAACUGAGAAGCCAGGUGAAGCUUCAGCUAUGGGCCACAUCCUUGGAGCUGAAUGGACUGCUUCCUGGGGGUGUGGGGUGGCACAGGGGGAAAGGCAGGCUUGGGAGUUGGGCAGAUCCAAUUUCACAACCCUGUUCUCUCACUUACAAACUAUAAGUCAGGUGACUGUCCCUGAGCCUUGGUGCACUCAUCUGUGAACCAGGGAGAAAAAUCAUGAGCUAUUUGGGAGGAUUAAAUCUACUCCUGCAUGGUGCCCGGGCUCCCCUCCCCACUAUUAAUUUGGGUGGCACCUCUCUAGCUUCUGGCCUGAGUUGGAAUUGAGAGUAGAUGGACUCAGAUGACCAGGAAAGAGGGGCUGGGGUUGUGGCUCAAUGGUAGAGCAUUUGCCUACCGGGUGUGAGGCACUGGGUUCGAUUCUGAGCACUACAUAUAAAUAAAUCAAUAAAAUAAAGGUCCAUCAACAUCUAAAAAAAUUAAAAAAGAAGAAAAGAUGACGACAAUGACCAGGAAAGAAAGUCAUCUUAGUCAUUGACUCUCAAAAAUCAGACCUUGAACUGGGCGCAGUGGCACACACCUAUAAUCCCAGCUACUCAGGAGGCUGAGGUGGGAGGAUUAAGAGUUCAAAGCCAGCCUCAGCAACAGCGAGACACUAAACAACUCAAUGAGACCCUGUCUCUAAAUAAAAUACAAAAUAGGGCCGGGGAUAUGGCCCAGUGGUCAAGUGCCCCUGAGUUCAAUCCCUGGUACGCCCUCCCCCACAAAAAAAAUCAGACCUUGUGGAGCUAUUUUCAAUGAAUCAGAGACCUCUGAAUUAAAGGUAUGGAAAUCAAGGAAGAACAUGCUGGGGUCAAAAUACUUUUUUUGGGUUGUGCCAGUUCAGGUUCUUCGGAAAAUAGACCCAUGGGUGAUGCAUGGCUGAAUCUGGACCCUGGCUGGUUCCCCAGCCACCGCAGGGUCUUGGGUGGCUGCUGACACGCAGGGGAGGACCCAGGGUUGUCUUCACCAGCCAAAGCCACAGCUGCCCAGAGUCAAGAUGAGCCAGGGGAGACGGGCUCACACUGUAUAAAGGGUUCACUACACAGAUCCUUUAAAUAUGCACGUGCCAAAUGCACUCAUUCCCUAAACAUUGACUGACAACAGCGGUCAGUAGGCAGACCCUGGCAUCCUGACCAGGACAGAAGGGAAUCUCAAAGCCUUUGGAGUUUUUUUUUCGAGAUUUUUUUUUUUUCAGGGCAGGGGUAGGCAGUGGACUCACAGGACUACUUUAAAAAAAAAUAAAGCAUUAUAAGGACAAAUUUUUCUACUUUCUAUUGAUGAUGGAUUAAAAUUGGAAGAUAAUUUUGGACUAUUUCAACUCUUGGUAACAAAAAUUAAAAUAGUCUAUCUUUGUGCCACAUAACAAUGUUUUAGUCAGUGAAAUACCACUUCUAUGACAAUGGUUCCAUAAAGCUACAAAAGAGUUGAAGAACUCCUGCUGGCUAGUGACAUUGUAACAUCAUAGUGCAACACGUUAUUCACGUGCGGGGUCCUCCAUAUGUGAACAAACCUGCUGUCUACCAGCUCCAUGACCACACCAUUAUGUGUGAUACACAAUAUUUGGUAAUGAUAAUAAACAACUAUGUUGCUGAUUUAGGUGUUCACUAGUUUGUACUUUAAUGGUUAUUUCAUUUUAUUCUGCAGUACCUGGGAUGGAACCCAGGGCCUUGCACAUGCUAGGAAAGUGCUCUAUCACUGAGCUACAUUCCCAGCUCUUGGUGGUUAUUUUAGAGUGUAUUCCUGGUUACAUAUUUUAAAAGAUUUAUUAUAAACAGUGUGCCCUGUUAUGCUGGCAGCAGACUCAUAGAUCUCAUAUAUACCCGUUUCUUGCCAGGCACAGUGGCAAUCCCAGCGGCUCAGAGGCUGAGGCAAGAGGAUCUCAAGUUCAAAGCCGACUUCAGCAAUUUAGCAAGAUCCUAAGAAACUUAGUGAGACCCCAUCUCAAAUUUAAAAUAAAAGAGUUAGGGAUGUGGCUCAGUGGUUAAGCACCCUUGGGCUCAAUCCCUGGUACCAAAAACCAAAACCAAAAUAAAGAAAAACCCAACCCUUGUUUCUCCAUAGCAUCAAGAGGCCACAUUGAGUGACUGACCAGCUAGACUUAUAUAAAUGCACUUAAUGUACUCUGAUAUUCCCAUGGACAAAAUUGCCUAGGGAUGAACUUCUCAGAAUGUAUCCCCAUUCUCUUUCAAUUUUCUUUCUUUUUUUUUUUCUUUAACACUGAGCUGUAUUUCCAGUCCCUUUUUUUUUUUUUUUUUUUUUUUGAGACAGGGUCUCAUUAAGUUGCUGAGGCUGGCCUCAAACUUACCAUCCUCCUGCCUCAGCUUCCUCAGUUGCUGGGAUUUCCAGCCCAGGCCACCAUACCAACCUGUUGUGUCCCCACUCUUAAAUAACUCCUGACUGUGCUUACCUCUUACUGAGAACUUAUUGAGUACUGGACAUUGUGCCAAGAACUUCACAAACAUCACCUACUUUCGAAUUUCACAGCAACCUAAGGGGCAUUACUCUCCCCAGCUUUCAAGCAAGGAAACUAAAAAUUAAAAAGAACAUGUAAAUGUCCCCUAAUCACACAGUUAGCAAAUGACAGAAGUAGGAUUUGAACCAAGGUGGAGGAGAAACUCAGAAACACCACCGUUCGGUGUCUGAGUCCACAUCAUGGUUCUGGUAUUAUACCUUCUCUCUUCUGUGAUCCACGCAUAUUUAUCAUUUAGCUUAUUUUCCAAGGAUGCAGCUGUGCUUCUCAGGGGGAACUGGUGUUGCUGAUGUCCCUGUGAGGCACAGGCUGUAGACAUCCAAUUAUUUUUCUAAGGUAAUAUAUUUUUUCCUUUCUCAUAACCCUGUUUUUUUCCCCUAGCACUAAGUGUCACUUGAUAUUUUAUAUCUACUGCAUUAUCAAGAUGUGGUCUGGUGGCCCAAGUGAAAGGAAAACUCCAAGGCAGGGGCUACAUCCGUCCUGUUUCCCUCUCGACUACCCAGGGCUUAGAACAGUGCCAAGCACAAAGUGGGAACCGAAUUAGUAUAUAUUUGUCAAAUAAAUGAACAAGGGCAGGGACGGCUUUGCAAUCGUUCCUGUGCAUUAUUUGUUCCUGGCUCCUUCCAUCUAGUGACCAUGUCUCUAGAAUUAUCUAGCCAGUGACUGGGUUAGAUUGUAACAUACUCUAUGAACGUGCAUCCCAGACAAUGGGAGACACAGUCUCAGAAUCCCUGGUGGGGUUUCCCCCAAAUAAAUUCGCUUGCCCGUUUGUUCCUAACCUCAAUCCCACCCUCUCUUUCUGACCCUUCUGUUUUACUCUCCUAAGAACUCUCUGAGGGCAGGGUACAUAUCUGAGUCAUGUUUGGUAUUCCACACUUGGUACUCUUCCAGCACUCUGCAACUGUGCGGGAAAUUAGUGAAUCGCACUCGUGGUCUUGGUCUCUUUAACAUGGUGCUCCAACCACCUGGGCCAACAAUGGCUCCAUCUACACAUGUUUGAGGACCAAAGCUGCCUUGAGCUGGGCGCAGUGGCGCAUGUCUGUAAUCCCAGUGGCCUGGGAGGCUGAGGCAGGAGGAUCCUGAAUUCAAAGCCAGCCUCAGCAACUUGGCGAGGCCCUAAGCAACUUAGCAAGACCCUUCUCUAAAAAAAGAAAAAAAAAACUGGCUUGGCUUGCCUUGAAGGCGGAAUCUAACUGGGUUGAUGAUUUUAGCUCUGCAGGGCCAGGAGAGGGAGAUGGGGAGGGAAGGAAGCUCUUGCUGAGGGUCCUACCUGCAUGCAUGCCAGGGUCCUAUCCAUUGCCGUCCCCAGGAGUGAUAUAAACCUAAGAACCUCACCAAUAGAAAUAGAUUAGGAAGAUUAAAACAGCAUCCCAACUAGGUUUGAACAUCACUCUGGAGCAGGUUUCUUAGCUCACCCACUCUGAAGGUCUUUCUCUGCAAAAUGGAAACAACAGUAACUUAUUGGGUCGCUGAGAAUAAAGGGAGAGGGUGUAUACAAACAACUAAAAAAAAAAGCCAUUAGUAAAUUGAUUAUCAGCUUUGAAAUACAAUGCUGAUGAAGGGGAUGAUUAGUGGACAGUAGGAGGCUCCCCAAAGGUCUGGGAGAGGACCCUCCCUCUGGCCUCCCUCCUUGGCCGCUCCCCAGAUGCUUGACAUUCCAGCCCGUGGCCCUCAGAAGCCCAGGUUUACAUGCAGAUUGUAUCUGGUACUGUUAAUGGCAUUCAUUCACCUUAUUAGCACCUUCACUGUAAUCAGAUUAGCCUCAGUUGAAAAAUAAAAAAGUCCUGGGCCCAGAAAUGUGAGGGGAAAGGUAAAGAAGAGGGUUCACAGGACACAAAAAAAAGGUCCUUAACUGCAGGUGGCCUUGGUGGAAUGAUAAAGAGGCGUGAGAAGCUGUGAGCACAGCAGGUGCCCUCUGUGGACCCUGAGCUGGGGGAUGGAUGGACAGGUAUAGGGAUGCAUGGGGCCCUGCUCUUCUCAGUGUGUGUCUGCAGGAGGCCACUGGGAUGAAUGUACUUGUGUUGAUUAAUUUAUUUACUGACUUAUUAAAAAAAAUUAAGGCAUUAAAGGCUCUGUGUGAUCCUGUCAUUUCUCAAUCAAAAGACUUUAAAGUUUCAACCACUCUCCUAGGGAGGGUAAGGGGAGAGAAAGAGGAGAACUAGUAUGUAGGGUCUUAUUUUUUAGAUCAGUUUUAUCUUCACAGAAAAACUGAGCAGAGUACAGAGUCCCCAUGUCCUUCCUCUCAUCCCCUUUCCUUUCCCCUGUCAUUAACAACUAACCAUGGUGUGAUACAUUUGUUGCAAUUGAUAACUGAUAUUGAAACAUCAUUAUUGACUAAAGUGUACAGCUGACAUUAGGCUUCACUCUGUGUUGUGAAGUCCUAGACAUUUUGCCUAAUCCACAAUGUCCUGAUCCCAUCACUAUCACAUCAUAUACAAGGGUGACAGUGUGCAGAAAGUCCCCUUGAUGGGUCCUUAUCCCAAAGGCUGGUUUAGACUUGGGACUCGAUUGGGGGAGUGACUUUUUGUGAUAAGCACAAGUUAGGGGUGCAGCACCUGGGGAGAGACACAGUCCCACAUGUGGGUCCCUUGGAGGGGUAGAGAGAAGGCGGAUCUCAGCCUCUGUGGGACACGAUUCAAAGUUUCUUUAUUUCCUACCCCAUUUAUUUUCCCCUUCCUUCUUGCCUUUCCUUUCUUAAUACUUUUCCCUCUUUAGGUUUCAAAUCUUUUGGCAGGUACUUAAUAAAAUUGGGAAGGCCCUUUGUCAUUGGUUCUUAACCCCAAGUUACACAUUUGACUUUCAUAGAAGUAUUUAAAAAGUCAUCCUGAUGCCUGGGGCCCAUCCUGGUUUGGUUUAAUCAGAUUUUCUGCAGAUGAGGUCCAGGUCCAGGGCCUUAUUCAGACUCUCCCAGUGGUCCUAAGGGCAACCAGGGUCCUAGGUAAUGUACCUGUAGCCACUCAGAUUCUCAGGGGGUGCUGAGGUCCAGAGAGCUGGGCCUCCUUUGGGAAGGAGUGUCCCCCCUACUGUACAGGAAGAGAUCACAGGUGUCUUUAUUGGGAAGGUGUCCAGGCAGAGAUUGUUUCAUGUUCUCACACAUGUUCACAGAUAGAAACUGGAUGUUGGGGUCCAUCCUAUUGAAAUAGUGAAAAUUGGGGAAAACCUAAAUGUACACAAAGAGCAGAUGAUUACAUAAAAGUGGCAGCCCAAAGCACUACAUAGCAAUUUUUUUUGAAUAUUUAUUUUUUAGUUGUAGUUGGACACAAUACCUUUAUUUUAUUUAUUUAAAUGUGGUGCUGAGGAUCGAACCCAGGGCCUCGCACAUGCUAGAUGAACACUUUACUGCUGAGCCACAACCCCAGCCCUACAUAGCAAUUUAAACAAAUGACACCAAACCUGUACAUAUUGACACACAGGGCAAUAUUCAAAAGAAGCAACCCCAGUGCUGGGGGUGUGGCUCGGCUGUGGCUUGGUGGUAGGGCCAUUUGGCAUGCAAAAAGCUUGGGGUUCAAUCCCAGCAGCGCCAGUACACGUGUGCAUGUGUGUGCACCCACAUACAAACAAGAAAGAAAAGAAAUGAAAUAUGUCACUCUGGUCUGAGCACGGGUGGUGACCAGAAACUGGCCCUGCUGUUAUGCUGGUACAUCCAGGAGGAACAUCAGUUCUGCUGACACAUGAAAAAAAAAUCAUCUCCAGGGUGUUGUUAAGUGGAAAAUGUCAGUCCUAGCACAGCAUGCAGAAUGUGAUCCCUUUUAUGUAAAUAAAAAACAAGCCCUAAAAAUAGACAUAAUAUACAUAUUUGACAGUAAAUGGAGAGAGAGAGAGAGAGAGAAGAAGAAGAAAAAAAGCCAGGAAGAAAAAUGAGGCUGCCAGGCAGAGUUUUAGACCUAGGAGUGGUGUGGGGAUGGUGAAGAGAGUUGUGGUAUUUUGCUGUAUGUAACUGUGCUAUUUGAAAAAAAAAAGUAUGGUAAAUACAUGUUCAUACAUGAUAAAUGUAAUGAAAAAAUAGAUAGUUUUUUUUUUAAUGAGAAGAAAAAAUUGGCUUUAGGGACAAAAAUUAUGUGGACUAUAGUCCUGAUUUUUUUACUCAUUAUUAGGGCUUGCUACAUAAUCCUCUGCACCUCAGUUUCCCCAUCCAUGCAACGGGGAUAAUACUAUUUCAUACUCAUAGGGUGUAGUAAUAUUCAAUGAAUUGAGGUAUAUGAUCUUGGGUAUGGAUAAAAAUGUGCAACUCCCUAGGCAUGGUGGCACACACCUGUAAUCCAAGCUACUUAGGAGGCUGAGGAAGGAGGAUGGCAUGUUCAAGGCCAGCCUGGGCAACUUAGCGAUACUCUGACUCAAAAUGAAAAAUAAAAAGGGCUAGAGAGGCUGCUCAGUGGUAGAAGGCUCCUGGGUUCAACCCCAGUACUGCAAAACAAAGUGCAACUAAAGAGAUGGAGAGGGUGAUUUAUUUUACUGGAUAAAUGUGGGAAUGGUUUACUUUUCAGCAAUUCCCCAUGAAAAAGAAUAAAAAUGAUCAAUACGUAAAAUAGGUCAAUUAGAAGCUCUGUGCCAAUGAGAAGAAUUAUUCAUUGGCUGCUUCUCCAAUUUACAGACUUUGAGCUCCAGACCUGUGACACAAUGGAUUUCUGCCUUCAUAAGCUGGUUGGUGGUAUUUUAUCUAGUUGGUGGAACAUAACAUAGCAAGCAAGAUGGGAAGGUAAGAGAGCAUAUUUGGACUUUGAAAUCAGAUCAGGGUCUACAUUCUGUGUCAUUGUCCUGGUUAUUUGAUUCCAGAUACACCACUUAAUGUACCUGAUUCCUAAUUUCCUUAUCAAUAGGGACUGAGAUGAGACUAGUGCCUGGGUCAGAUAAUCACUGAUAUUAAGCGAAUAACAUAUAUGAGGUAUUUAGCUCAGUCAUUGGCCCAGGAGAGACAUUAAGUAAAACGUUAGUUUCCCCUUAAGCACUUACUACACUGUCAGCUCUGGGUUAUAUGUGCUAUGAAGUUUAAAAGAGCACGGUCUAUCCUUCAAAGAUCUGGAAUUAAGGAAAUGCAAAGUAAAUUGAAUUCUUGUUUCACCAUGGCUUCUCCCUUCAAUAUCCCUCUUGGGUGCAGUGAAACCCUCUGCUUGGUCCAUCAAGAGGGGAAACCAACAUUUACACUGAUGUGGCCAGCACCUUACAGGGCGACUCUGAUGGGGACUGUUUUAGCCUCACCACCACUGAAGAGACGUCAUUUCUACUGAGUCAAACCUCGUUCAGACCUUGUGCAGAUCAUUCCCAGCCCAGGUUUGUUCCAGCCUCCUAGAUGUACCAAGCCCCUCCAAGGAUGCCGCAAAAAAACAGGUGGAAGAAGUUCUCCCUGUGUUGAGGCUUGUGCCUCUCUGCCUCCCAAGAGCGCAGAAGUCUGGAAUAGCUGAGUGUGAAUCCUCUUGGUCCUAUCACUGCACAGCAACCAGGUCUGCGCAGGCUGUGUACAGCUUCGUCCAGGUUCUCCUAUCCUCACUCAGCUGCCUCCUGCUUCCUGGCCAGGGCCCGGGCUUCCCGAAAGUCCACUCAUACAGGCACAACUUGUGGGACCACCCUUGAGCAAUAGGGUGCAGGCAUUUGGGGAUAAGUGCUGAGAGCCAUAGCCAAGUCGGAUUGACGCAUGGCAUUUUUGCCAGAACGGAGUGGUUGAGAGGUGAAGCCAGCAAGCCAUUGAGAUGAUAAUGGUUAUGUUAAGCUGUGUAUUCAAUUGUAUAUUAGACCCCUGCUGCCCGCCUGGGCCUGCUACUUUGGAGUUCUUGCAGGGAUUCCUGGAGAGUUCCCAUUGGUUGGAGAACUGCCGGAGGAGGGAUUUCCGAUUGGUGGGUGGUGUGUCCCAGGAGAAGGCCACAUGCUUGGCGAUCGUGGGAGUGCGGAGAAUAAAGGAGUUCCUGUUUUGAACCUACAAGGCUGUGUGGCGGCUCGGUUAUUUUGUGCCCAGCCAGACUGCGGCAGAUAAAUGCCUCAUCCUUUGCUGUCCAGAGCUGUGGUUCCCAAAGGCACUUCCUCAGCUCAUCAGGGCUCUCGUGCGAUCUAGUAUCCCUCGCCCUUAGUAGCCGCCAACCCAAAGCAUUCUUGUACAGAGAUGUUCCCUUCUUCCCUGCUCCAGACGUAGAAUCACAUUUUCAAGGAAAAUACCUGUCUCAAGCUCUACUUUUGGGAAGACACUUGUAUGGUCACUUUUUAAGAUGCAGGUCAAAUAUCCAGAAAUGGAAGCCAUCCUUCCACCCAAUCCCACAGUCUAUACAUUUCUGCACAUAGAGACGGGUUCAAUCUUCAGGUGCCCCAGGCAAUUCCAGCUUCCCACCACUUUGUGCAGAUUGUGUGUGUGUGUAGGGCGGGUAUGGGGAUUGCACCCAGGGGCACUCUAACGUUGAUAUCCCAGCCCUUUUAUUUUAUUUUGAGAUGGGACCCAGGCUGGCUUCAAACUUGCAAUCUUCCUACCUCAUUCUCCCAAGUAGCUGGGAUCACAGGCAUGUUCCAUUAGGCCCAGCAUCUACUGCACUAAUUUGUUUUCGUGUGUGUGUGUGUGUGUGUGUGUGUGUCUUAGGGAUUGAACCCAUGGCCUUGCACAAGUAAGGCAGGUGCUCUACCACGUGCUUCAUUCCCCAUCCCACACUGCACUACUUGGUAAUUGCUCCUGGUGAGUUCUGCAACCAGACAAGUCCAAGGAGGGAAGACUAUAUGUCUUUUCUUCAUUUUUAGCACCCAGUGGAGUACUGUCAUAGCAGGAGCUAGACAAAUGCACAUUAAAUCUACUCUCGGUUAUAAGGGCUCUCUCCCUGACAACAAAUGCGACUCGGUGGCACAGUAAACAGCUUGGGUUGUGUUCUAGUGGCCCUGGCUCUGAUUCCCCAAGACUGCUGAGGUCCCUGCCUCCCCCCACCUGUGGCAGGGUGUGGGGAGGUCCACCCGUUCCUGGGCUAUUUUGCUAAUGUUUCCUCCUGCUCCACCACUUGGUUGGCUUCACCUAGGACACCUGUGGUCAUCUCUACCUCUUCUCCCUCCCUAUCAGAUAUCAUGCCUUCUGUUAUGGUUUGGAUUUGGAUUGUCCCUCAAAGACUCAAGUUUUGAAGGCUUGGUCUCCAAUACAGUAGUGUUCAGAAGUGGGGCUUUUGGGGAGUGAUUGGAUCAUGAGGGCUCUGACCUUUUCAGUGGAUUCAUCCACUGAUAACUGAAUGAACUACUGGGCAGGGAUGGAGGCUGUGGGAAGUGGGACCUGGUCAAAGGGAGUAGGCCUUCAUGGGCAUGCCCUUGGGGACUAUACCUUGUCCCCCCACUUUUCUCUCUCUUUCUCUCUGC
Molecule: long non-coding RNA, 15820 nt
Organism: Marmota monax (woodchuck)
Lineage: Eukaryota; Metazoa; Chordata; Mammalia; Rodentia; Sciuridae
Exons: 3
Source: RefSeq, a predicted model, not a curated record